RNAcentral lists this ribosomal RNA (440 nucleotides) under uncultured bacterium. Its description in RNAcentral is "partial 16S ribosomal RNA". It matches the Rfam family "Bacterial small subunit ribosomal RNA", at positions 338 to 795 of the family's 1533-position model. The record is from RNAcentral.
CCUACGGGGGGCAGCAGUGGGGAAUAUUGCACAAUGGGGGAAACCCUGAUGCAGCGACGCCGCGUGAAGGAAGAAGUAUUUCGGUAUGUAAACUUCUAUCAGCAGGGAAGAAAAUGACGGUACCUGACUAAGAAGCCCCGGCUAACUACGUGCCAGCAGCCGCGGUAAUACGUAGGGGGCAAGCGUUAUCCGGAUUUACUGGGUGUAAAGGGAGCGUAGGCGGCGAUGCAAGUCAGAAGUGAAAGCCCGGGGCUCAACUCCGGGACUGCUUUUGAAACUGUAUGGCUAGAUUGCAGGAGAGGUAAGCGGAAUUCCUGGUGUAGCGGUGAAAUGCGUAGAUAUUAGGAGGAACACCAGUGGCGAAGGCGGCUUACUGGACUGUAACUGACGUUGAGGCUCGAAAGCGUGGGGAGCAAACAGGAUUAGAUACCCUAGUAGUC